GAGGUCGUGGCUGGAGGUCGUGGCUGGAGGUCGUGGCUGGAGGACGUGGCUGGAGGACGUGUCUGGAGGUCGUGGCUGGAGGUCGUGGCUGGAGGUCGUGGCUGGAGGUCGUGGCUGGAGGUCGUGGCUGGAGGACGUGGCUGGAGGCCGUGGCUGGAGGACGUGGCUGGAGGUCGUGGCUGGAGGACGUGGCUGGAGGACGUGUCUGGAGGACGUGUCUGGAGGACGUGUCUGGAGGACGUGGCUAAAGGACGUGUCUGGAGGUCGUGGCUGGAGGUCGUGGCUGGAGGUCGUGGCUGGAGGACGUGGCUGGAGGACGUGUCUGGAGGUCGUGGCUGGAGGACGUGGCUGGAGGUCGUGGCUGGAGGACGUGGCUGAAAGAUGCAGUAGAAACAGCAGGGAAUAACACUGACGCACUGAAGUCUGAGAAGUAACGGGACCAAAGACUGUGACAAAAACAAUUCAUGGAGUGAGAAAGGACUGUUCAACGUUGAUCUGACCAAUCGGAAUCUAUGCUUCAAGAUUGUUUUUAUCACGCAGACUGGGAGAUGUUCUGGGUCGCCUCUGAAAAUAGUAUCGAUGUAUACACUGACUCGGCGACUGGGUUCAUCGGGAAGUGCAUAGAGGAUGUUGUACCCACUGUGACGAUUAGAAUUUAUCCAAAUCAAAAACUGUGGAUAGAUGGCAGCAUUAGCACAGAACUAAGAGCCACAUUUAACCAUGGCAAGGUGACGGAACAUGGACGUUUAGAAACAGACCAGCUACGACCUCCGUAAAGGCAAUCAAAAAGGCAGAAUGAGAGUACAGGGACAAAGCGGAGUCGGGAAUUCAUCGGCUCGGACACGAGAUGUAUGUGGCAGGAACUCCAGACAAUCACAGAUUAUAAAGGGAAAGCCAGCCACGUCACAGACCCCGACACCUCGCUCCCAGACGAGCUAAACACCUUCUUCGCCCACUUCAAGGAAAACAAUAUCAAGCCACCGACACGGGCCCCCCUGCCACUCACGAGGACUGUGUGCUCUCGCUGCCGGCCCAGACAGCAUCCCAAGCCGCGUCCUCAGAGCAUGUGCAGACCAGCUGGCUGGAGUGUUUACAGACAUAUUCAAUCUCUCCCUAUACCAGUCUGCUGUCCCCACUUGCUUCAAGAUGUCAACCAAUUUUCCUGUACCAAAGAAAGCUAAGGUCACUGAACUAAAUGACUCCCGCCCCAUAGCACUCACUUCUGUCAUCAUGAAGUGCUUUGAGAGACUAGUCAAGGACCAUAUCACCUCCACCUUACCAGACACCCUAGACCCACUACAAUUCACAUAAUCGCCCACUACAAUUCACAUAACCGUCUCAACAGAUCCACGGACGACGCAAUCGCCAUUCCACUGCAGACUGCCCUUUCCCAUCUGGACAAGAUAAAUACUUACGUAAGAAUGCUGUUCAUCGACUUCAUCCCCCGAGUUCCACCACAACGCAUCACCGGGGGGCACACUACCUGCCCUCCAGGACAUCUACAGCACCCAGUGUCACAGGAAGGCCAAGAAGAUCAUCAAGGACCUCAGCCACCUGAUCCACGGCCUGUUCACCCCGCUACCAUCUAGAAGAUCAUCAAGGACCUCAGCCUCCUGAGCCACGGCCUGUUCACCCCGCUACCAUCUAGAAGAUCAUCAAGGACCUCAGCCACCUGAGCCACGGCCUGUUCACCCCGCUACCAUCUAGAAGGAGGAGACAGUACAGGUGCGUGAAAGCUGGGACAGAGACACUGAUUAAUAGCGCCUAUCUCCAGGGCAUCAGACUGUUAAGUAGUCACCAC
Molecule: long non-coding RNA, 1801 nt
Filed under: Salmo salar (Atlantic salmon)
Lineage: Eukaryota; Metazoa; Chordata; Actinopteri; Salmoniformes; Salmonidae
Description: lncRNA (ENSSSAG00000101161.1, ENSSSAG00000106624.1)
Source: RNAcentral